GAUGUCCUUGUCUUAGGGGAGCAUAAUACCCCGUGAUCGUUUAGUGAGGGUGUUGAUGCUGAAACCCGUUAUUUAAAAGAUAACCGCAUCCGGAUCUAUUCCGAGAUGCAAUUUUUGUAGGG
This is a non-coding RNA of Harpegnathos saltator (Jerdon's jumping ant), 122 nucleotides long. NCBI's taxonomy places the organism in Eukaryota, Metazoa, Arthropoda, Insecta, Hymenoptera, Formicidae. The record is from Rfam.